This 253-nucleotide ribosomal RNA is filed under the name uncultured bacterium. RNAcentral's name for it is "partial 16S ribosomal RNA". It matches the Rfam family "Bacterial small subunit ribosomal RNA", at positions 524 to 776 of the family's 1533-position model. The record is from RNAcentral.
UACGGGGGGGGCAAGCGUUGUUCGGAAUUACUGGGCGUAAAGGGCUCGUAGGCGGCCAACUAAGUCAGACGUGAAAUCCCCAGGCUCAACCUGGGAACUGCGUCUGACACUGGAUGGCUUGAAUUCGGGAGAGGGAUGCAGAAUUCCAGGUGUAGCGGUGAAAUGCGUAGAUAUCGGGAGGAACACCAGUGGCGAAGGCGACUUCCUGGCCUGUUCUUGACGCUGAGGCGCGAAAGCUAGGGUAGCAAACGGG